Pipra filicauda (Wire-tailed manakin) is the source of this 454-nucleotide long non-coding RNA. RefSeq lists it as uncharacterized. The transcript is spliced from 3 exons. Lineage: Eukaryota; Metazoa; Chordata; Aves; Passeriformes; Pipridae. The record is from RefSeq and is a predicted model, not a curated record.
UCAUUUCCACCAGCUUGUCUGCAUCAGCAAAAGAGAAAAGCUCACUGUGCCAAUCCGGGCCAUUGGUGCCCGCCCAGUCUUGGACUUCCCUGACCAGCUGGACUUCUCGCCGUGUCCAGUCAACCACAGCACCCAGAAGACUCUGCUGGUUCACAACACCGGGAACCUGGAAGCCUGUUACAGCCUCAGCACUGAGAGCCCUUUCACUGUCAGCCCAGCCACGGGAACCCUCGAUGUUGGUGAAGCCAAGCAAGUGACAGUGGAAUAUCACCCGCUGGAGACCGGGCACCAUUCCACACCCCUGGCAGUGCACUGCGACAGAGGUGAAGAUACCCACACCAGACUUCUUGGAAAAGCUAAGGACUUCAACAUCGGGCUGGACAAGUACUCUUUGGAACUUGUCAAGCCACAGAACCACGGCCACCCACAACAGAAGUAACAUCACAGCCCGAUU